ACCUUUUCAGGGGUUGUGUACCUUGCAGGACUUGCGUUCACUGGAGUGGAAGUCUGUCGCAUGGGUGACGCAUUAAAGGAGGAACUGCCCGAUAAUUGUGAGUGUUCUUGGCCAGACUCCUGUAAAAUAAAAGCGUACACACGCACAGCAUCUUCUCCAAGUUGAAGCGGCGGAGGAAGAAAGACCGACUUGCCACGGUUUACCGGGAGCAGGUGAAAGGACAGCCACAAACGACCAAACCAAUGCAAGCCCUGUGGCUGAAGCGGAGAGCUCAAGCAUCUUAACUCCAGUGAGUGGAUUUGAAGAAGAUGGAGAUGGUCACAUGAAUGUUGACCUUUCUAAACAUGCAACUGCAUUUCUUCUUCAAGCCAGAGAAACCCAUCGACUGACACAGAGAGCUGUUAACCAAAUGGUGAGUGGAGUCCAGCAAUAUCAGGCCGCAUUACUGGAGCACCUCAAACAGCAAAUGAGUGACAUGAUUGAGAGACAUUCUGGGAACCUGGAUCAACUAAAGAGUGAUGCAAUGGGGAUAUUUGACCAGUUUGUUGACCCUUUCAGUCAAAUUGCUUCCACCCAUUUGCAGGAUAAGACCAUCAAAGAACUGUUAGAACCAGUUGAACCAGAGAUUGUUGUCACAAAACAAACAGUAUGUUAUGUGAAACAUGGAGACUCCAGAGUUCUUACCAUUAAGGACCACUGUUUUCAUUAUAUACCGUUGGUGAAAAGCUUGGAGCAGCUGCUAUCACAUCCAAGAAUUAUUGCAAUGAUUGAUGAGAGGCCACAGACAUGCAAGGAUGGAUUUUUUCAUGAUUUCAUUGAUGGAGACAUUUUUAAAUCGCACCCACUGUUUUU
Molecule: long non-coding RNA, 852 nt
Organism: Scatophagus argus
Lineage: Eukaryota; Metazoa; Chordata; Actinopteri; Scatophagidae
Exons: 4
Source: RefSeq, a predicted model, not a curated record